GACGAACGCUGGCGGCGUGGAUUAGGCAUGCAAGUCGAACGGUAGGAUACCUUCGGGUAUCUGAGAGUGGCGAACGGGUGAGUAACACGUAGGUGAUCUACCCUCAAGAUUGGGACAACCCAGGGAAACUUGGGCUAAUACCGGAUGAAAGCAGCAGUGAUGUUGUUUGAAGGGUGGCGUAAGCUGCCGUUUGGGGAUGAGCCUGCGCUCUAUUAGUUAGUUGGCGGGGUAAAGGCCCACCAAGGCGAUGAUAGAUAGGCGGCCUUAACGGGUGGUCGCCCACACUGGGAUUGAGAUACGGCCCAGACUCCUACGGGAGGCAGCAGUCGAGAAUAGUCUACAAUGGCCGAAAGGCUGAUAGUGCGACGCCGCGUGAACGAAGAAGCCCUUCGGGGUGUAAAGUUCUUUUAUAUGUGAGCAGUGCUUUCUAUGUGAACAGCAUGGGGAGAGAGAUAUUAGCAUAUGAAUAAGCAACGGCUAACUCCGUG
RNAcentral lists this ribosomal RNA (488 nucleotides) under uncultured bacterium. RNAcentral describes it as "bacterial SSU rRNA". It matches the Rfam family "Bacterial small subunit ribosomal RNA", at positions 28 to 507 of the family's 1533-position model. The record is from RNAcentral.